UCUUCGGAUGCUGACGAGUGGCGAACGGGUGAGUAAUACAUCGGAACGUGCCCGAGAGUGGGGGAUAACGAAGCGAAAGCUUUGCUAAUACCGCAUACGAUCUCAGGAUGAAAGCAGGGGACCGCAAGGCCUUGCGCUCACGGAGCGGCCGAUGGCAGAUUAGGUAGUUGGUGGGAUAAAAGCUUACCAAGCCGACGAUCUGUAGCUGGUCUGAGAGGACGACCAGCCACACUGGGACUGAGACACGGCCCAGACUCCUACGGGAGGCAGCAGUGGGGAAUUUUGGACAAUGGGCGCAAGCCUGAUCCAGCCAUGCCGCGUGCAGGAUGAAGGCCUUCGGGUUGUAAACUGCUUUUGUACGGAACGAAAAGACUCUGGUUAAUACCUGGGGUCCAUGACGGUACCGUAAGAAUAAGCACCGGCUAACUACGUGCCAGCAGCCGCGGUAAUACGUAGGGUGCGAGCGUUAAUCGGAAUUACUGGGCGUAAAGCGUGCGCAGGCGGUUAUGUAAGACAGAUGUGAAAUCCCCGGGCUCAACCUGGGAACUGCAUUUGUGACUGCAUAGCUAGAGUACGGCAGAGGGGGAUGGAAUUCCGCGUGUAGCAGUGAAAUGCGUAGAUAUGCGGAGGAACACCGAUGGCGAAGG
Molecule: ribosomal RNA, 647 nt
Filed under: uncultured beta proteobacterium
Lineage: Bacteria; Pseudomonadati; Pseudomonadota; Betaproteobacteria
Description: bacterial SSU rRNA
Rfam family: Bacterial small subunit ribosomal RNA
Source: RNAcentral